AACUAGGCGAGGGGAGCGACCCCACCUCGAAAAUUCUGAUUGAAGGACAGGACCUGCCGGUAUUGGUCCCUUCAAGGCACUUAUUUCCUCUUCCCUAACAUGCUUAUAACCACAAGCUACUGCUAUUCCUGAGUUGGGAACGGGUACAAGCCAAGCUGUAUGUGACUCGAAGCCAUUAUCGAUCGAUUGUUGGGUAUAUAACACCAUGCCAGUUUCCAGUGUUUCAGACUUCCUGUGGACAUUGAUCCUGUGCAACACCACCGACAGGAGGCAGCGGUGGACAUUGCUCGAGGAGCGCCAGUGUAGUGCCAACCCCUGGUGGGAGAAUGACGGACCUGCCCGAGGAAGGAGGCCACACGGUAGUAACAAGACUGAACGGACAUACCGUCUCGCGAAUCUUGGGGCCCCAGGGAUAUCUGGAAUUGAGCAUCGAGUUAGUUGGCCGAUGCCUCCUCGCCACCCCAAACAGGGCCCUCUUUGUUCUUGGCACGCCAGAGGGGAUAUAAGGCAGUGCAUGCUGUCAGGAGGGUGCAGUGCGAUCACUCCAUGUCCUCUGGCCGCCAGGAAUUGUUCUCUGGGUAAGGCCCCUGUGCACCACUCUAAAUAAACCGUCAACCUGGA
This is a long non-coding RNA of Ornithorhynchus anatinus (platypus), 621 nucleotides long. RefSeq lists it as uncharacterized. NCBI's taxonomy places the organism in Eukaryota, Metazoa, Chordata, Mammalia, Monotremata, Ornithorhynchidae. The record is from RefSeq and is a predicted model, not a curated record. The transcript has 2 exons.